UCCUCAUUGUGCAUGCUGUGUGCGCUCCUGCGUCCCACACAGCGCCUGCAAUGUGGAGG
RNAcentral lists this microRNA precursor (59 nucleotides) under Tetraodon nigroviridis (spotted green pufferfish). RNAcentral's name for it is "Tni-Mir-460-P2a_pre stem-loop". Lineage: Eukaryota; Metazoa; Chordata; Actinopteri; Tetraodontiformes; Tetraodontidae. The record is from RNAcentral.